AGAGUUUGAUCAUGGCUCAGCCUGAACGCUGGCGGCGUGGCUAAGACAUGCAAGUCGAACGGAUGUAGCAAUACAUCAGUGGCGGACGGGUGAGUAAUGAAUCGCUAACGUGCCCCGCAGUUUGGGAUAGCCGGCCGAAAGGCCGGGUAAUACCGGGUGACACCGCUUGGAGGCAUCUCCGGGCGUUCAAAGGAGCAAUCCGCUGCGGGAGCGGGCGAUUUCGUAUCAGCUAGUUGGCGGGGUAACGGCCCACCAAGGCGACGAUCAGUAGCUGGUCUGAGAGGAUGAUCAGCCACACUGGGACUGAGACACGGCCCAGACUCCUACGGGAGGCAGCAGUGGGGAAUUUUCCGCAAUGGGCGCAAGCCUGACGGAGCAAGACCGCGUGCGGGAUGACGGCCUUCGGGUUGUAAACUCCUUUUGCAUGGGACGAUACGGACGGUACCGUGCGAAUAAGCCCCGGCUAACUCUGUGCCAGCCGCCGCGGUAAUAC
This 493-nucleotide ribosomal RNA is filed under the name uncultured bacterium. Its description in RNAcentral is "bacterial SSU rRNA". It matches the Rfam family "Bacterial small subunit ribosomal RNA", at positions 8 to 526 of the family's 1533-position model. The record is from RNAcentral.